RNAcentral lists this ribosomal RNA (458 nucleotides) under uncultured Rhodoferax sp. Its description in RNAcentral is "bacterial SSU rRNA". It matches the Rfam family "Bacterial small subunit ribosomal RNA", at positions 924 to 1382 of the family's 1533-position model. The record is from RNAcentral. Lineage: Bacteria; Pseudomonadati; Pseudomonadota; Betaproteobacteria; Burkholderiales; Comamonadaceae.
CACAAGCGGUGGAUGAUGUGGAUUAAUUCGAUGCAACGCGAAAACCUUACCCACCUUUGACAUGUACGGAAUCCUUUAGAGAUAGAGGAGUGCUCGAAAGAGAACCGUAACACAGGUGCUGCAUGGCUGUCGUCAGCUCGUGUCGUGAGAUGUUGGGUUAAGUCCCGCAACGAGCGCAACCCUUGUCAUAAUUGCCAUCAUUCAGUUGGGGCACUUUAAUGAGACUGCCGGUGACAAACCGGAGGAAGGUGGGGAUGACGUCAAGUCCUCAUGGCCCUUAUGGGUAGGGCUUCACACGUAAUACAAUGGUCGGUACAGAGGGUUGCCAACCCGCGAGGGGGAGCCAAUCCCAGAAAACCGAUCGUAGUCCGGAUUGCAGUCUGCAACUCGACUGCAUGAAGUCGGAAUCGCUAGUAAUCGCGGAUCAGCAUGUCGCGGUGAAUACGUUCCCGGGCCUU